RNAcentral lists this ribosomal RNA (253 nucleotides) under uncultured bacterium. RNAcentral's name for it is "partial 16S ribosomal RNA". It matches the Rfam family "Bacterial small subunit ribosomal RNA", at positions 524 to 776 of the family's 1533-position model. The record is from RNAcentral.
UACGGAGGGUGCAAGCGUUAUCCGGAUUCACUGGGUUUAAAGGGUGCGUAGGCGGGCAGGUAAGUCAGUGGUGAAAUCCUAGAGCUUAACUCUAGAACUGCCAUUGAUACUAUCUGUCUUGAAUAUUGUGGAGGUAAGCGGAAUAUGUCAUGUAGCGGUGAAAUGCUUAGAUAUGACAUAGAACACCUAUUGCGAAGGCAGCUUACUACGCAUAUAUUGACGCUGAGGCACGAAGGCGUGGGGAUCAAACAGG